Pelobates cultripes (western spadefoot toad) is the source of this 604-nucleotide non-coding RNA. Lineage: Eukaryota; Metazoa; Chordata; Amphibia; Anura; Pelobatidae. The record is from the annotation of a GenBank genome assembly.
AUGUAAAUCAGAAAUACAGAUAAUUAAAUGUUGAAAAAGAUUUACACUUAAACAGUUACGUGGCAGGUACUAUUAGGUUGAUUUAAGUGUUCACUUACAAACUACUAAAUCCCGCGGGUAAUUCAUUAAUUGGGUAUAAUGUUCAUUACUUUGGCUAACCCAUUAGUGGGUUUACAGUACAUCUAGUUUCUAGUUAUACCAUGCAGUGAUUAAUAUCCUUUCUUAAAAUCAAAUCUUUCAGGUAUAAUCCGUUCAGGUGAACCCUUUCAAUAACUGAUUGAGAUUGUAGUACUGAUCAUCCUCCUUGUGGCAAACCCUGCCACUUGGACUAACUAUUCUGUGCGAAUGAACAGUUGAAUUAUUACAAGCGAAUGGGUGCUAAAGCAGUGACCAAAUGCACGAACGGACUAUAAUGUUAUUCUUGCUGUUCUGAAUACGAAUGCCCUGAAACUACCGAACGGGAGACCACCCCGGGGUGCCUGUGUGUGUGGCCGCCAUUUCGCCUACCGAACACGUGGCGGCGGACAUCUUACGCACGAACAGCGGUACUUGGUCGCCGAACGCCUAGAACUCAAACCGGGCAUUCGACUAACCUCCAGCAUGC